GUACCACACUUCCACACAAAGGGAAAAACGGAAAGGGAAGGACCAUAAUGCCGUUGCGUGCAAGAUUGCGAAUCGCUCGCUGUCUCCACCAACUCCAGGGCUGCGCCAAAAGACGAAACCCAUUAAUUGCCAAGAAACUCCAUGCUCUAAUCAUCAAAGCUGGUCUAAACGAAAGCGAAUACUUAUACAACACUCUUGUGGAUGUUUAUGGCAAAUGCGGCCUCUUUCAAGAUGCCUAUUACCUGUUCGAGGAAAUGCCCCACAGAGACCAUGUCUCUUGGGCCUCCAUUCUCAAUGCAUACAACCAUGCCAACCUCCCUAACAGAACUCUCUCCAUUUUCCCUACUAUGUUCGCGCUUGAUAGGUUGCAACCUGACCAUUUCGUGUAUGCUUCUCUCGUUAAGGCAUGCGCCAGCUUGGGUGCUAUAAGGCAAGGGAAGCAAAUACAUGCGCACUUUAUUUUAUCGCCAUUCUGUGAUGAUGACGUUGUUAAGUCUUCUUUAGUUGAUAUGUAUGCAAAAUGUGGGAACAUUAUGAAGGCUCUUC
Molecule: unclassified non-coding RNA, 546 nt
Filed under: Hevea brasiliensis (rubber tree)
Lineage: Eukaryota; Viridiplantae; Streptophyta; Magnoliopsida; Malpighiales; Euphorbiaceae
Source: RNAcentral